Long non-coding RNA from Oncorhynchus tshawytscha (Chinook salmon), 1061 nucleotides. The record is from Ensembl. Lineage: Eukaryota; Metazoa; Chordata; Actinopteri; Salmoniformes; Salmonidae.
UCUCUCUUUCUCUCCUCUCUCUCUCUCUCAGUAUAUAAACAGCUGGAGAGGUGUGUGGUCAACCCUGUUAUGUUUCCAAUAGGGAACCCGUAAUCCUUCUUAUUAAGUUUUUAUCCAUAUUUGUGGAUCGUUCUUUUUUUUCUUUUUUUAAACUUUUUUUUGUCAUUCGUUGAUGUCAUUACCGUUAUACGAUGUCAUCGCUGUUAUGAUGUCAUGAUCAUUAGACUGUUUUCUCAGUUGUGUUUUAUGAUGAUUACUGAGCUGUUUCUGUUGCUAUACUGUACAAUACACUAGGGGCACAAAGGAGGAACCAUCCAUUGUGGACAACAAAACAAAUGUUUGCUUAUAUGAUUGGUCAUUUUCAAUACUGUGUCUGUACUCGUCUCAAAGUGGUUGAAACUCAUUUUCAAUACUGUGUCUGAUUUGCUGUGGUUGAAAUUCAUUUUCAAUACUGUGUCUGUACUCGUCUCAAAGUGGUUGAAACUAAUCUGUAAAACAACAAACGCACGUUUUGAUUUGCUGUGAUUGACAUUCUACUUUGCUGUGAUUGACAUUCUACUUUGCUGUGUUGACAUUCUACUUUGCUGUGUUGACAUUCUACUUCGGUGUGUUGACAUUCUACUUUGCUGUGAUUGACAUUCUACUUUGCUGUGUUGACAUUCUACUUUGCUGUGAUUGAGCAGAAGAGAGGGAGGCCUGUCUGUACUGGUAUUGAUGGGAGAAGGAUUGUGCAUAUUUGCAGGUUAAUGUGGCCUUGUAUUGAACUACUGGCAGCAGAAACUUGACCUUCAGCUUUUUAUGCUGUUUCCCUUUACUUGUUUCUGCCUUUCCAUCUCUACCUGUCUGUUUGUUGACCUCUUUUAGUCAUUCUCUUCCACUCUUUGAUUUCUAUCUGUCUCUUUCUUCUUCUUCUCUCUGUUCCUCUUAUUCUCUUUCUCCUUCUUCUUCUUCUUCUCUUUGUUCCUCUUAUUCUCUUUUUUCUUCUUCUUCUCUUUCUUCUUCUUCUCUUUGUUCCUCUUAUUCUCUUUCUCCUUCUUCUUCUUCUUCUCUUUGUUCCUCUU